This 407-nucleotide ribosomal RNA is filed under the name uncultured bacterium. RNAcentral describes it as "partial 16S ribosomal RNA". It matches the Rfam family "Bacterial small subunit ribosomal RNA", at positions 28 to 526 of the family's 1533-position model. The record is from RNAcentral.
GACGAACGCUGGCGGCGUGCCUAAUACAUGCAAGUAGAACGCAGUUGCGAACGGGUGCGUACCGCGUAGUUACCUGCCUCAUAGCGCCGGAUAACUAUGGGCAACGAUUGCUAAUACCUCAUACUUCGAGAUGGACCUGCGUUGUGUUAGCUAGUUGGUGAGCGAGUGGCUCACCAAGCCGACGAUACAUAGCCGACCUGAGAGGGUGAUCGGCCACACUGGGACUGAGACACGGCCCAGACUCCUACGGGAGGCAGCAGUAGGGAAUCUUCGGCAAUGGACGAAAGUCUGACCGAGCAACGCCGCGUGAGUGAAGAAGGUUUUCGGAUCGUAAAACUCUGUUGUUAGAGAAGCGGUAUCUAACCAGAAAGCCACGGCUAACUACGUGCCAGCAGCCGCGGUAAUUC